Molecule: unclassified non-coding RNA, 295 nt
Filed under: Hevea brasiliensis (rubber tree)
Lineage: Eukaryota; Viridiplantae; Streptophyta; Magnoliopsida; Malpighiales; Euphorbiaceae
Source: RNAcentral
GAGAAAGCGUCAGGAGCAUCGGCCUCUUCAUCAGGGGCUAGAGAUUUCUCGUAUCCGUGGACUUUUAUACCAUUUCAAAAGCUCAACUUCUCCAUUGGUAACAUUUUAGAGUGUUUGAGAGAUGAAAAUGUGAUUGGGAAAGGCUAUUCUGGUGUUGUCUACAAGGCUGAAAUGCCUAAUGGGGAGUUGAUUGCAGUAAAAAAGCUUUGGAAAACAAAACGAGAAGAAGAAGCAGUGGAUUCAUUUGCAGCAGAAAUUCAAAUUCUAGAACACAUUCGACAUCGGAAUAUUGUGA